GUCUAAGUAUAAGCAAUCUAUACUGUGAAACUGCGAAUGGCUCAUUAAAUCAGUUAUCGUUUAUUUGAUAGUACCUUACUACUUGGAUAACCGUGGUAAUUCUAGAGCUAAUACAUGCUAAAAACCUCGACUUCGGAAGGGGUGUAUUUAUUAGAUAAAAAACCAAUGCCCUUCGGGGCUCCUUGGUGAUUCAUAAUAACUUAACGAAUCGCAUGGCCUUGUGCCGGCGAUGGUUCAUUCAAAUUUCUGCCCUAUCAACUUUCGAUGGUAGGAUAGUGGCCUACCAUGGUUUCAACGGGUAACGGGGAAUUAGGGUUCUAUUCCGGAGAGGGAGCCUGAGAAACGGCUACCACAUCCAAGGAAGGCAGCAGGCGCGCAAAUUACCCAAUCCCGACACGGGGAGGUAGUGACAAUAAAUACUGAUACAGGGCUCUUUUGGGUCUUGUAAUUGGAAUGAGUACAAUUUAAAUCCCUUAACGAGGAACAAUUGGAGGGCAAGUCUGGUGCCAGCAGCCGCGGUAAUUCCAGCUCCAAUAGCGUAUAUUAAAGUUGUUGCAGUUAAAAAGCUCGUAGUUGAACCUUGGGCCUGGCUGGCCGGUCCGCCUCACCGCGUGCACUGGUCCGGCCGGGCCUUUCCUUCUGGGGAGCCGCAUGCCCUUCACUGGGUGUGUCGGGGAACCAGGACUUUUACUUUGAAAAAAUUAGAGUGUUCAAAGCAGGCCUAUGCUCGAAUACAUUAGCAUGGAAUAAUAGAAUAGGACGUGUGGUUCUAUUUUGUUGGUUUCUAGGACCGCCGUAAUGAUUAAUAGGGAUAGUCGGGGGCAUCAGUAUUCAAUUGUCAGAGGUGAAAUUCUUGGAUUUAUUGAAGACUAACUACUGCGAAAGCAUUUGCCAAGGAUGUUUUCAUUAAUCAGUGAACGAAAAGUUAGGGGAUCGAAGACGAUCAGAUACCGUCGUAGUCUUAACCAUAAACUAUGCCGACUAGGGAUCGGGCGAUGUUAUCUUUUUGACUCGCUCGGCACCUUACGAG
Molecule: ribosomal RNA, 1030 nt
Filed under: Phacidiaceae sp.
Lineage: Eukaryota; Fungi; Ascomycota; Leotiomycetes; Phacidiales; Phacidiaceae
Description: SSU rRNA
Rfam family: Eukaryotic small subunit ribosomal RNA
Source: RNAcentral